GAGUUUGAACCUGGCUCAGGAUGAACGCUGGCGGCGUGCCUAAUACAUGCAAGUCGAGCGAACAGAUAAGGAGCUUGCUCCUUUGAAGUUAGCGGCGGACGGGUGAGUAACACGUGGGUAACCUACCUAUAAGACUGGGAUAACUUCGGGAAACCGGAGCUAAUACCGGAUAAUAUUUAGAACCGCAUGGUUCUAAAGUGAAAGAUGGUUUUGCUAUCACUUAUAGAUGGACCCGCGCCGUAUUAGCUAGUUGGUAAGGUAACGGCUUACCAAGGCGACGAUACGUAGCCGACCUGAGAGGGUGAUCGGCCACACUGGAACUGAGACACGGUCCAGACUCCUACGGGAGGCAGCAGUAGGGAAUCUUCCGCAAUGGGCGAAAGCCUGACGGAGCAACGCCGCGUGAGUGAUGAAGGGUUUCGGCUCGUAAAACUCUGUUAUUAGGGAAGAACAAAUGUGUAAGUAACUGUGCA
Molecule: ribosomal RNA, 473 nt
Filed under: uncultured bacterium
Lineage: Bacteria
Description: bacterial SSU rRNA
Rfam family: Bacterial small subunit ribosomal RNA
Source: RNAcentral